Molecule: non-coding RNA, 28 nt
Filed under: Rattus norvegicus (Norway rat)
Lineage: Eukaryota; Metazoa; Chordata; Mammalia; Rodentia; Muridae
Source: RNAcentral
UGAGCAUGGGUGUCAAAAAAAAAAGCCU